GAUGAACGCUGGCGGCGUGCCUAAUACAUGCAAGUCGAGCGAACAGACGAUGAGCUUGCUCCUCUGACGUUAGCGGCGGACGUGUGAGUAACACGUGGAUAACCUACCUAUCAGACUGGGAUCACUUCGGGACUCCGGCGCAUAUCCCGGAUAAUCUAUUGAACCGUAUGGGGCAAUAGAAAAAGACGGUUUUGGUGUCACUUAUAGCUGGUUACGGGCCGCUGUGGGUAGUUGUGAAGGUAACGGCUUACGAAGGCGACGAUGCGUAGCCGACGUGCUAGGGGGGUCGGCCACACUGGAACUGGGACGCGGUCCUGGGUCCUACGGGAGGCAGCAGUAGGGAAUCGUCCGCAAUGGGCGAAAGCUUGACGGAGCAACGCCGCGUGAGUUGUGAAGGUGUUGGGAUCGUAAAGCUCGGUUAUUAGUGAAGAACAAAUGUGUAAGGAACUGUGCACGUCUUGACGGUACCGAGUCAGAAAGCCACGGCUAACUACGUG
RNAcentral lists this ribosomal RNA (497 nucleotides) under uncultured bacterium. Its description in RNAcentral is "partial 16S ribosomal RNA". It matches the Rfam family "Bacterial small subunit ribosomal RNA", at positions 28 to 507 of the family's 1533-position model. The record is from RNAcentral.